CCAAUGAUGGCGACCGGCGCACGGGUGAGUAACGCGUAUCCAACCUCCCCUUAGGUAGAGGAUAGCCCGGCGAAAGUCGGAUUAAUACUCUAUGUUGUAUUUUGAUGACAUCUGACGAAUACCAAAGAUUUAUCGCUAAGGGAAUGGGGAUGCGUCUGAUUAGGUUGCAGGCGGGGUAACGGCCCACCUGGCCUACGAUCAGUAGGGGUUCUGAGAGGAAGGUCCCCCACACUGGUACUGAGACACGAACCAGACUCCUACGGGAGGCAGCAGUGAGGAAUAUUGGUCAAUGGGCGCGAGCCUGAACCAGCCAAGGUAGCGUGCAAGGACGACUGCCCUAUGGGUUGUAAACUGCUUUUAUCAGGGAAUAAAGUGAGGCACGCGUGCCUUUUUGUAUGUACCUGAUGAAUAAGGACCGGCUAAUUCCGUGCCAGCAGCCGC
This 441-nucleotide ribosomal RNA is filed under the name uncultured bacterium. Its description in RNAcentral is "bacterial SSU rRNA". It matches the Rfam family "Bacterial small subunit ribosomal RNA", at positions 82 to 518 of the family's 1533-position model. The record is from RNAcentral.